This 649-nucleotide ribosomal RNA is filed under the name uncultured bacterium. RNAcentral's name for it is "bacterial SSU rRNA". It matches the Rfam family "Bacterial small subunit ribosomal RNA", at positions 43 to 681 of the family's 1533-position model. The record is from RNAcentral.
CAGGCCUAACACAUGCAAGUCGAGCGGCAGCGGGAAGUAGCUUGCUACUUUGCCGGCGAGCGGCGGACGGGUGAGUAACGCGUGGGAAUCUACCCAUUUGUGGGGGAUAACUUGGGGAAACUCAAGCUAAUACCGCAUAAUCCCUACGGGGGAAAGCAGGGGAUCCUCGGACCUUGCGCAGAUGGAUGAGCCCGCGUCGGAUUAGCUAGUUGGUAGGGCAAAGGCCUACCAAGGCGACGAUCCGUAACUGGUCUGAGAGGAUGACCAGUCACAUCGGGACUGAGACACGGCCCGAACUCCUACGGGAGGCAGCAGUGGGGAAUCUUGGACAAUGGGGGCAACCCUGAUCCAGCCAUGCCGCGUGUGUGAAGAAGGCCCUAGGGUUGUAAAGCACUUUCAGUAGGGAGGAAGGCUUCGGGUUAAUACCCUGGAGUACUUGACGUUACCUACAGAAGAAGCACCGGCUAAUUUCGUGCCAGCAGCCGCGGUAAUACGAAAGGUGCGAGCGUUAAUCGGAAUUACUGGGCGUAAAGCGCGCGUAGGCGGUUAGUUAAGUCGGAUGUGAAAGCCCAGGGCUCAACCUUGGAACUGCAUCCGAUACUGGCUAGCUAGAGUGCAGUAGAGGGAGGUGGAAUUUCCGGUGUAGCGG